UGGGGAAUUUUGGACAAUGGGGGCAACCCUGAUCCAGCCAUGCCGCGUGCAGGAUGAAGGUCUUCGGAUUGUAAACUGCUUUUGUCAGGGACGAAAAGGAUUGUGUUAAUACCAUGAUCUGCUGACGGUACCUGAAGAAUAAGCACCGGCUAACUACGUGCCAGCAGCCGCGGUAAUACGUAGGGUGCAAGCGUUAAUCGGAAUUACUGGGCGUAAAGCGUGCGCAGGCGGUUCUGUAAGACAGAUGUGAAAUCCCCGGGCUCAACCUGGGAAUUGCAUUUGUGACUGCAGGACUAGAGUUCAUCAGAGGGGGGUGGAAUUCCAAGUGUAGCAGUGAAAUGCGUAGAUAUUUGGAAGAACACCAAUGGCGAAGGCAGCCCCCUGGGAUGCGACUGACGCU
This 400-nucleotide ribosomal RNA is filed under the name uncultured bacterium. RNAcentral's name for it is "bacterial SSU rRNA". It matches the Rfam family "Bacterial small subunit ribosomal RNA", at positions 355 to 747 of the family's 1533-position model. The record is from RNAcentral.